This 341-nucleotide unclassified non-coding RNA is filed under the name soil metagenome. RNAcentral's name for it is "partial contains 5.8S ribosomal RNA, internal transcribed spacer 2, and large subunit ribosomal RNA". The stretch from base 1 to 120 matches the Rfam family "5.8S ribosomal RNA", at positions 35 to 154 of the family's 154-position model. The record is from RNAcentral.
GAUGAAGAACGUAGCAAAAUGCGAUAAGUAGUGUGAAUUGCAGAAUUCAGUGAAUCAUCGAAUCUUUGAACGCACAUUGCGCCCUUUGGUAUUCCAAAGGGCAUGCCUGUUCGAGCGUCAUUUGUACCCUCAAGCUUUGCUUGGUGUUGGGCGUCUUGUCUCUAGCUUUGCUGGAGACUCGCCUUAAAGUAAUUGGCAGCCGGCCUACUGGUUUCGGAGCGCAGCACAAGUCGCACUCUCUAUCAGCAAAGGUCUAGCAUCCAUUAAGCCUUUUUUUCAACUUUUGACCUCGGAUCAGGUAGGGAUACCCGCUGAACUUAAGCAUAUCAAUAAGCGGAGGA